This 919-nucleotide ribosomal RNA is filed under the name Bacillus pumilus. Its description in RNAcentral is "bacterial SSU rRNA". It matches the Rfam family "Bacterial small subunit ribosomal RNA", at positions 31 to 934 of the family's 1533-position model. The record is from RNAcentral. Lineage: Bacteria; Bacillati; Bacillota; Bacilli; Caryophanales; Bacillaceae.
UCCCAUUGGCGGGGUUCCCUAAAAAUGCAAGUCGAGCGGACAGAAGGGAGCUUGCUCCCGGAUGUUAGCGGCGGACGGGUGAGUAACACGUGGGUAACCUGCCUGUAAGACUGGGAUAACUCCGGGAAACCGGAGCUAAUACCGGAUAGUUCCUUGAACCGCAUGGUUCAAGGAUGAAAGACGGUUUCGGCUGUCACUUACAGAUGGACCCGCGGCGCAUUAGCUAGUUGGUGAGGUAACGGCUCACCAAGGCGACGAUGCGUAGCCGACCUGAGAGGGUGAUCGGCCACACUGGGACUGAGACACGGCCCAGACUCCUACGGGAGGCAGCAGUAGGGAAUCUUCCGCAAUGGACGAAAGUCUGACGGAGCAACGCCGCGUGAGUGAUGAAGGUUUUCGGAUCGUAAAGCUCUGUUGUUAGGGAAGAACAAGUGCAAGAGUAACUGCUUGCACCUUGACGGUACCUAACCAGAAAGCCACGGCUAACUACGUGCCAGCAGCCGCGGUAAUACGUAGGUGGCAAGCGUUGUCCGGAAUUAUUGGGCGUAAAGGGCUCGCAGGCGGUUUCUUAAGUCUGAUGUGAAAGCCCCCGGCUCAACCGGGGAGGGUCAUUGGAAACUGGGAAACUUGAGUGCAGAAGAGGAGAGUGGAAUUCCACGUGUAGCGGUGAAAUGCGUAGAGAUGUGGAGGAACACCAGUGGCGAAGGCGACUCUCUGGUCUGUAACUGACGCUGAGGAGCGAAAGCGUGGGGAGCGAACAGGAUUAGAUACCCUGGUAGUCCACGCCGUAAACGAUGAGUGCUAAGUGUUAGGGGGUUUCCGCCCCUUAGUGCUGCAGCUAACGCAUUAAGCACUCCGCCUGGGGAGUACGGUCGCAAGACUGAACUCAAAGGAUUGACGGGGGCCCGCACAAGCGGUG